This 218-nucleotide ribosomal RNA is filed under the name uncultured bacterium. RNAcentral describes it as "partial 16S ribosomal RNA". It matches the Rfam family "Bacterial small subunit ribosomal RNA", at positions 29 to 225 of the family's 1533-position model. The record is from RNAcentral.
AACGAACGCUGGCGGCGCGCCUAACACAUGCAAGUCGAGCGAGAAAGGGGGAGCAAUCCCCUCGAGUAGAGCGGCGAGCGGGUGAGUAACGCGUGGGCAAUCUGCCCUCCAGCCCGGGACUAACACCUCGAAAGGGGUGGCUAAUACCGGAUGACAUCAGCCCGGCGCAUGCCGGGCUGAUCAAAGGCGGCCUCUGCAUGCAAGCUGUCACUGGGGGA